This 341-nucleotide ribosomal RNA is filed under the name uncultured Prevotella sp. Its description in RNAcentral is "partial 16S ribosomal RNA". Lineage: Bacteria; Pseudomonadati; Bacteroidota; Bacteroidia; Bacteroidales; Prevotellaceae. The record is from RNAcentral.
GGAGUUUGGACCGUGUCUCAGUUCCAAUGUGGGGGACCUUCCUCUCAGAACCCCUACUGAUCGUCGGCUAGGUGGGCCGUUACCCCGCCUAUUACCUAAUCAGACGCAUCCCCAUCCAUCACCAAUAAAUCUUUACUCCUCGUUAGAUGUCCGCGAAGGAGACCAUCAGGUAUUAAUUCGCCUUUCGGCGGGCUAUCCCUGAGUGAUGGGAAGGUUGGAUACGCGUUACUCACCCGUGCGCCGGUCGCCAUCAAAGGAAGCAAGCUUCCUUCAUGCUGCCCCUCGACUUGCAUGUGUUAAGCCUGUAGCUAGCGUUCAUCCUGAGCCAGUGAUACAACUCU